AGGCCUAACACAUGCAAGUCGAGGGGCAGCACGGUGUAGCAAUACACGGGUGGCGACCGGCGCACGGGUGAGUACGCGUAUCAACCUGCCUACUACAAGGGGAUAACCCGUUGAAAGACGGACUAAUACCCUAUAACACAGGGAAUCCGCAUGGAUAUAUUUGUUAAAGAUUUAUCGGUAGUAGAUGGGCAUGCGUUCCAUUAGCUUGUUGGUGAGGUAACGGCUCACCAAGGCAACGAUGGAUAGGGGAACUGAGAGGUUGAUCCCCCACACUGGAACUGAGACACGGUCCAGACUCCUACGGGAGGCAGCAGUGAGGAAUAUUGGUCAAUGGACGAGAGUCUGAACCAGCCAAGUCGCGUGAAGGAAGACGGCCCUACGGGUUGUAAACUUCUUUUGUAAGGGAAUAAAUAGUCUUACGCGCUAAGACGUUGCAGGUACCUUACGAAUAAGGAUCGGCUAACUCCGUGCCAGCAGCCGCGGUAAUACGGAGGAUCCGAGCGUUAUCCGGAUUUAUUGGGUUUAAAGGGUGCGCAGGCGGCAUGUUAAGUCGGCGGUGAAAUUUUGCAGCUCAACUGUAAAAGAGCCUUCGAAACUGGCAAGCUUGAGUGUGGAUGAAGUAGGCGGAAUUUGUGGUGUAGCGGUGAAAUGCAUAGAUAUCACAAAGAACACCGAUUGCGCAGGCAGCUUACUAAACCAUAACUGACGCUCAUGCACGAAGGCGUGGGGAUCAAACAGGAUUAGAUACCCUGGUAGUCCACGCAGUAAACGAUGAUUACUGGCUGUUUGCGAUACAAUGUAAGCGGCUGAGCGAAAGCGUUAAGUAAUCCACCUGGGGAGUACGUUCGCAAGAAUGAAACUCAAAGGAAUUGACGGGGGCCCGCACAAGCGGAGGAGCAUGUGGUUUAAUUCGAUGAUACGCGAGGAACCUUACCAGGGCUCGAACGCAGGAGGAAUACACCCGAAAGGAUGUAGCCAGCAAUGGCCGCCUGCGAGGUGCUGCAUGGUUGUCGUCAGCUCGUGCCGUGAGGUGUCAGGUUAAGUCCUAUAACGAGCGCAACCCCUAUUCAUAGUUGCCAGCAUAUUACGAUGGGGACUCUAUGAAAACUGCCUGCGCAAGCAGUGAGGAAGGUGGGGAUGACGUCAAAUCAGCACGGCCCUUAUGUCCUGGGCUACACACGUGCUACAAUGGCCGGUACAAAAGGCCGCAACUACGCAAGUAGAGGCUAAUCCCUAAAACCGGUCUCAGUUCGGAUUGGAGUCUGCAACCCGACUCCAUGAAGCCGGAUUCGCUAGUAAUCGCACAUCAGCCAUGGCGCGGUGAAUACGUUCCCGGGCCUUGUACACACCGCCCGUC
RNAcentral lists this ribosomal RNA (1357 nucleotides) under uncultured bacterium. RNAcentral describes it as "bacterial SSU rRNA". It matches the Rfam family "Bacterial small subunit ribosomal RNA", at positions 44 to 1398 of the family's 1533-position model. The record is from RNAcentral.